UACAGAGGCCUCAAGCGUUAGGCGGAAUCACUGGGCUCAAAGCGUGUGUAGGUGGAUGCCUAAGUACCUUGUGAAAUCCCACGGCUUAACCAUGGAAUUGCUUGGUAUACUGGGUGUCUUGAGCCACUCAGGGGCUACCGGAACAAACGGUGGAGCGGUGAAAUGCGUAGAUAUCGUUUGGAACGCCAAUGGUGAAAACAGGUAGCUGGGGGUGUGCUGACACUGAGACACGAAAGCCAGGGGAGCAAACGGG
This 253-nucleotide ribosomal RNA is filed under the name uncultured bacterium. RNAcentral's name for it is "partial 16S ribosomal RNA". It matches the Rfam family "Bacterial small subunit ribosomal RNA", at positions 524 to 776 of the family's 1533-position model. The record is from RNAcentral.